AAUUAUGGUGGGCUGGAUGAGGCGACUUCGGUCGGCCGCGUUUCCUUUGGAGCGGUACUGCGAACCUUGUUCAGUUCACCACCCAA
RNAcentral lists this non-coding RNA (86 nucleotides) under Allocatenococcus thiocycli. The record is from RNAcentral. Lineage: Bacteria; Pseudomonadati; Pseudomonadota; Gammaproteobacteria; Vibrionales; Vibrionaceae.